Molecule: long non-coding RNA, 369 nt
Organism: Solanum dulcamara
Lineage: Eukaryota; Viridiplantae; Streptophyta; Magnoliopsida; Solanales; Solanaceae
Exons: 3
Source: RefSeq, a predicted model, not a curated record
CAAAACCUAUCCAAUAACGUCCCAAACUCUUUGAACUUCAUAAAUCUCUCCAAGGUUAAGGUUGAGACAAUAUUGGAAAGCAUAUACAUGUUGUGUGCAAGUAACCCUAAAGGUAUAAAUAUUAAUUUUGGAGAUCCGCCAGCUUAGGAUUUCCACUCAGCUAUUUUGGAAGUGCUCCAUUAUCCCGGAGCCUAGAAUUUUGAUAUAGAUAUUUUAAUGUAUAUAUUUAUUUAUCCAUGGGUAUGGCGGGGUCCUGUCCCGUCAUAUAUUACUGUUGAUAUUCUUAGAGGUCUGUAGACAUAUAUGUAGGUGGUAUAUAGAUGUUAUCCAGUUGUACUAGUAUGAUAUAUAUUUUGGAACGUUCCUAUU